CGGGUGAGUAACACGUGGAUAACCUACCUAUAAGACUGGGAUAACUUCGGGAAACCGGAGCUAAUACCGGAUAANAUUUUGAACCGCAUGGUUCAAAAGUGAAAGACGGUCUUGCUGUCACUUAUAGAUGGAUCCGCGCUGCAUUAGCUAGUUGGUAAGGUAACGGCUUACCAAGGCACGAUGCAUAGCCGACCUGAGAGGGUGAUCGGCCACACUGGAACUGAGACACGGUCCAGACUCCUACGGGAGGCAGCAGCC
This 258-nucleotide ribosomal RNA is filed under the name uncultured Staphylococcus sp. RNAcentral's name for it is "partial 16S ribosomal RNA". It matches the Rfam family "Bacterial small subunit ribosomal RNA", at positions 103 to 355 of the family's 1533-position model. The record is from RNAcentral. Lineage: Bacteria; Bacillati; Bacillota; Bacilli; Caryophanales; Staphylococcaceae.